UGGGGACAGGAGAACAGCACUACUCAUUCAGUGAGUGAAUGGGGACAGGAGAACAGCACUACUCAUUCAGUGAGUGAAUGGGGACAGGAGAACAGCACUACUCAUUCAGUGAGUGAAUGGGGACAGGAGAACAGCACUACUCAUUCAGUGAGUGAAUGGGGACAGGAGAACAGCACUACUCAUUCAGUGAGUGAAUGGGGACAGGAGAACAGCACUACUCAUUCAGUGAGUGAAUGGGGACAGGAGAACAGCACUACUCAUUCAGUGAGUGAAUGGGGACAGGAGAACAGCACUACUCAUUCAGUGAGUGAAUGGGGACAGGAGAACAGCACUACUCAUUCAGUGAGUGAAUGGGGACAGGAGAACAGCACUACUCAUUCAGUGAGUGAAUGGGGACAGGAGAACAGCACUACUCAUUCAGUGAGUGAAUGGGGACAGGGGAACAGCACUACUCAUUCAGUGAGUGAAUGGGGACAGGAGAACAGCACUACUCAUUCAGUGAGUGAAUGGGGACAGGAGAACAGCACUACACAUUCAGUGAGUGAAUGGGGACAGGAGAACAGCACUACUCAUUCAGUGAGUGAAUGGGGACAGGAGAACAGCACUACUCAUUCAGUGAGUGAAUGGGGACAGGAGAACAGCACUACUCAUUCAGUGAGUGAAUGGGGACAGGAGAACAGCACUACUCAUUCAGUGAGUGAAUGGGGACAGGAGAACAGCACUACUCAUUCAGUGAGUGAAUGGGGACAGGAGAACAGCACUACUCAUUCAGUGAGUGAAUGGGGACAGGAGAACAGCACUACUCAUUCAGUGAGUGAAUGGGGACAGGAGAACAGCACUACUCAUUCAGUGAGUGAAUGGGGACAGGAGAACAGCACUACUCAUUCAGUGAGUGAAUGGGGACAGGAGAACAGCACUACUCAUUCAGUGAGUGAAUGGGGACAGGAGAACAGCACUACUCAUUCAGUGAGUGAAUGGGGACAGGAGAACAGCACUACUCAUUCAGUGAGUGAAUGGGGACAGGAGAACAGCACUACUCAUUCAGUGAGUGAAUGGGGACAGGAGAACAGCACUACUCAUUCAGUGAGUGAAUGGGGACAGGAGAACAGCACUACUCAUUCAGUGAGUGAAUGGGGACAGGAGAACAGCACUACUCAUUCAGUGAGUGAAUGGGGACAGGGGAACAGCACUACUCAUUCAGUGAGUGAAUGGGGACAGGAGAACAGCACUACUCAUUCAGUGAGUGAAUGGGGACAGGAGAACAGCACUACUCAUUCAGUGAGUGAAUGGGGACAGGGGAACAGCACUACUCAUUCAGUGAGUGAAUGGGGACAGGAGAACAGCACUACUCAUUCAGUGAGUGAAUGGGGACAGGAGAACAGCACUACUCAUUCAGUGAGUGAAUGGGGACAGGAGAACAGCACUACUCAUUCAGUGAGUGAAUGGGGACAGGAGAACAGCACUACUCAUUCAGUGAGUGAAUGGGGACAGGAGAACAGCACUACUCAUUCAGUGAGUGAAUGGGGACAGGAGAACAGCACUACUCAUUCAGUGAGUGAAUGGGGACAGGGGAACAGCACUACUCAUUCAGUGAGUGAAUGGGGACAGGAGAACAGCACUACUCAUUCAGUGAGUGAAUGGGGACAGGAGAACAGCACUACUCAUUCAGUGAGUGAAUGGGGACAGGAGAACAGCACUACUCAUUCAGUGAGUGAAUGGGGACAGGAGAACAGCACUACUCAUUCAGUGAGUGAAUGGGGACAGGAGAACAGCACUACUCAUUCAGUGAGUGAAUGGGGACAGGAGAACAGCACUACUCAUUCAGUGAGUGAAUGGGGACAGGAGAACAGCACUACUCAUUCAGUGAGUGAAUGGGGACAGGAGAACAGCACUACUCAUUCAGUGAGUGAAUGGGGACAGGAGAACAGCACUACACAUUCAGUGAGUGAAUGGGGACAGGAGAACAGCACUACUCAUUCAGUGAGUGAAUGGGGACAGGAGAACAGCACUACUCAUUCAGUGAGUGAAUGGGGACAGGAGAACAGCACUACUCAUUCAGUGAGUGAAUGGGGACAGGAGAACAGCUUUGACUAUUGA
Molecule: long non-coding RNA, 2097 nt
Filed under: Oncorhynchus mykiss (rainbow trout)
Lineage: Eukaryota; Metazoa; Chordata; Actinopteri; Salmoniformes; Salmonidae
Description: lncRNA (ENSOMYG00000076654.1)
Source: RNAcentral